AUUGAACGCUGGCGGCAGGCUUAACACAUGCAAGUCGAGCGGGGUGAUGGUGCUUGCACUAUCACUUAGCGGCGGACGGGUGAGUAAUGCUUAGGAAUCUGCCUAUUAGUGGGGGACAACAUCUCGAAAGGGAUGCUAAUACCGCAUACGUCCUACGGGAGAAAGCAGGGGAUCACUUGUGACCUUGCGCUAAUAGAUGAGCCUAAGUCGGAUUAGCUAGGUGGUGGGGUAAAGGCCUACCAAGGCGACGAUCUGUAGCGGGUCUGAGAGGAUGAUCCGCCACACUGGGACUGGGACACGGCCCAGACUCCUACGGGAGGCAGCAGUGGGGAAUAUUGGACAAUGGGGGGAACCCUGAUCCAGCCAUGCCGCGUGUGUGAAGAAGGCCUUAUGGUUGUAAAGCACUUUAAGCGAGGAGGAGGCUCUUUUGGUUAAUACCCAAGAUGAGUGGACGUUACUCGCAGAAUAAGCACCGGCUAACUCUGUGCCAGCAGCCGCAGUAA
RNAcentral lists this ribosomal RNA (503 nucleotides) under uncultured bacterium. Its description in RNAcentral is "partial 16S ribosomal RNA". It matches the Rfam family "Bacterial small subunit ribosomal RNA", at positions 30 to 523 of the family's 1533-position model. The record is from RNAcentral.